This 66-nucleotide transfer RNA is filed under the name Phlugiolopsis tuberculata. RNAcentral describes it as "tRNA-Thr". The record is from RNAcentral. Lineage: Eukaryota; Metazoa; Arthropoda; Insecta; Orthoptera; Tettigoniidae.
GUUUUAGUAGUUUAAAUAAAAACACUGGUCUUGUAAAUCAACAAUAAGUACUAUGCUUCUAAAACU